RNAcentral lists this ribosomal RNA (893 nucleotides) under uncultured organism. RNAcentral's name for it is "bacterial SSU rRNA". It matches the Rfam family "Bacterial small subunit ribosomal RNA", at positions 24 to 960 of the family's 1533-position model. The record is from RNAcentral.
UCAGGAUGAACGCUGGCGGUCUGCUUAACACAUGCAAGUCGAACGCAACCUUCGGGUUGAGUGGCGGACGGGUGAGUAACGCGUGAGAAUCUGCCUUGGGGUCGGGGACAACCACUGGAAACGGUGGCUAAUACCGGAUAAGCCUUUGGGUAAAAAAUUUAUUGCCCCAAGAGGAGCUCGCGUCUGAUUAGCUAGUUGGUGAGGUAAAAGCUCACCAAGGCAGCGAUCAGUAGCUGGUCUGAGAGGACGAUCAGCCACACUGGGACUGAGACACGGCCCAGACUCCUACGGGAGGCAGCAGUGGGGAAUUUUCCGCAAUGGGCGAAAGCCUGACGGAGCAAGACCGCGUGAGGGAGGAAGGCUCUUGGGUUGUAAACCUCUUUUCUCAGGGAAGAAGCUCUGACGGUACCUGAGGAAUCAGCCUCGGCUAACUCCGUGCCAGCAGCCGCGGUAAUACGGAGGAGGCAAGCGUUAUCCGGAAUUAUUGGGCGUAAAGCGUCCGCAGGUGGCGAUUCAAGUCUGCUGUCAAAGCACGGGGCUUAACUCCGUUAAGGCAGUGGAAACUGAAUAGCUAGAGUGCCGUAGGGGUAGAGGGAAUUCCCGGUGUAGCGGUGAAAUGCGUAGAGAUCGGGAAGAACAUCGGUGGCGAAAGCGCUCUACUGGACGGCAACUGACACUCAGGGACGAAAGCUAGGGGAGCGAAUGGGAUUAGAUACCCCAGUAGUCCUAGCUGUAAACGAUGGAUACUAGGUGUAGCUUGUAUCGACCCGAGCUGUGCCGAAGCUAACGCGUUAAGUAUCCCGCCUGGGGAGUACGCACGCAAGUGUGAAACUCAGAGGAAUUGACGGGGGCCCGCACAAGCGGUGGACGUAUGUGGUUUAAUUCGAUGCAAC